This 30-nucleotide non-coding RNA is filed under the name Mus musculus (house mouse). Lineage: Eukaryota; Metazoa; Chordata; Mammalia; Rodentia; Muridae. The record is from RNAcentral.
UGGAAGCCAUAAUGUAUAUGCAGAGGAAGU